UAUAUCGAAUACAAAUUGGACUUCGUUUGGGACUAUAGGGAAAUUACGUUACGUGCGAAAGUACGAUAAGAAAAUACUAUAUUUGUUUCCGUAUAUAAUAUUAUGUUCUGCAUAUCACGAUGAAUCGAUAACGAUAUAUUUUCUGUGGUCCUACGGAAGAACACAAAAGUAUGUCCCUACAUAUUUAUACCCUGACUCCAUUUCAUCUGAUAGCGUCAGAUAGACCCUAGUACCAAACCAAAUCUUAAAAUCUUAGCCCCAUAUACAGCAUCUAUAUUUGUUUCCGUAUAUAAUAUUAUGUUCACCCUGACUCUAUUUCAUCUAAUAGUGUCAGAUAGACCAUAGUACCAAACCAAAUCUUAAAAUCUUAGCCCAUAUACAGCAUUAGAGGUUUUCUGCCUAUGGGCUUAAGCUUUUGAUUUUUUUUUUAUUUUUAUUUUUAUUUUUAUUUUUAUUUUUAUUUUUGUGAGAGAUAGGUAGCACACUACCCGUUUCGUUUAUUUCAUUUAGAAAUAAAUUAAGCUGGAAAUGUGAAUUAAUUAGAAUUCGAACUAGGGAUCUCGGAUACCAACCACCAAAUCCUUUACCACUUGUUCUAGGGACGGUCGGUUAAGCAGAACUUAAGUUUAC
This 630-nucleotide long non-coding RNA is filed under the name Ananas comosus (pineapple). RNAcentral describes it as "long non-coding RNA (ACOM_LNC000074)". Lineage: Eukaryota; Viridiplantae; Streptophyta; Magnoliopsida; Poales; Bromeliaceae. The record is from RNAcentral.